AUUGAACGCUGGCGGCAGGCCUAACACAUGCAAGUCGAGCGGAUGAAGGGAGCUUGCUCCUGGAUUCAGCGGCGGACGGGUGAGUAAUGCCUAGGAAUCUGCCUGGUAGUGGGGGAUAACGUCCGGAAACGGGCGCUAAUACCGCAUACGUCCUGAGGGAGAAAGUGGGGGAUCUUCGGACCUCACGCUAUCAGAUGAGCCUAGGUCGGAUUAGCUAGUUGGUGGGGUAAAGGCCUACCAAGGCGACGAUCCGUAACUGGUCUGAGAGGAUGAUCAGUCACACUGGAACUGAGACACGGUCCAGACUCCUACGGGAGGCAGCAGUGGGGAAUCUUGGCCACUGGGCGCGCGCCUGCUCCCGCCCUGCCGCGUGUGUGAAGGAGGUCUUCGGAUUGUAAAGCACUUUAAGUUGGGAGGAAGGGCAGUAAGUUAAUACCUUGCUGUUUUGACGUUACCAACAGAAUAAGCACCGGCUAACUUCGUG
RNAcentral lists this ribosomal RNA (484 nucleotides) under uncultured bacterium. Its description in RNAcentral is "partial 16S ribosomal RNA". It matches the Rfam family "Bacterial small subunit ribosomal RNA", at positions 30 to 507 of the family's 1533-position model. The record is from RNAcentral.